RNAcentral lists this transfer RNA (84 nucleotides) under Marmota monax (woodchuck). RNAcentral describes it as "tRNA.Ala". The record is from RNAcentral. Lineage: Eukaryota; Metazoa; Chordata; Mammalia; Rodentia; Sciuridae.
GGGGUUGUGGCUCAGUGGUAGAGCACUUGCCUAGCACUUGCCUAGCACGUGCAAGGACCUGGGUUCGAUCCUCACUCAGUACCA